UGGUUUUCCAGACUGUCAGCAAUGCUU
Molecule: non-coding RNA, 27 nt
Filed under: Mus musculus (house mouse)
Lineage: Eukaryota; Metazoa; Chordata; Mammalia; Rodentia; Muridae
Source: RNAcentral